AACGAACGCUGGCGGCAUGCCUAACACAUGCAAGUCGAGCGAUCCCUUCGGGGAUAGUGGCGCACGGGUGCGUAACGCGUGGGAACCUGCCCUUAGGUUCGGAAUAACUCAGAGAAAUUUGAGCUAAUACCGGAUAAUGUCUUCGGACCAAAGAUUUAUCGCCUUUGGAUGGGCCCGCGUUGGAUUAGCUAGUUGGUGGGGUAAAGGCCUACCAAGGCGACGAUCCAUAGCUGGUCUGAGAGGAUGAUCAGCCACACUGGGACUGAGACACGGCCCAGACUCCUACGGGAGGCAGCAGUGGGGAAUAUUGGACAAUGGGCGAAAGCCUGAUCCAGCAAUGCCGCGUGAGUGAUGAAGGCCUUAGGGUUGUAAAGCUCUUUUACCCGGGAUGAUAAUGACGGUACCGGGAGAAUAAGCCCCGGCUAACUCCGUG
RNAcentral lists this ribosomal RNA (433 nucleotides) under uncultured bacterium. Its description in RNAcentral is "partial 16S ribosomal RNA". It matches the Rfam family "Bacterial small subunit ribosomal RNA", at positions 29 to 507 of the family's 1533-position model. The record is from RNAcentral.